This 274-nucleotide long non-coding RNA is filed under the name Gallus gallus (chicken). Lineage: Eukaryota; Metazoa; Chordata; Aves; Galliformes; Phasianidae. The record is from RNAcentral.
GUAGAAAAGGUGCACUUUGGAAACAUCAUUAAUGGCACGGGAAGGCUUGUGGGCCGGUGUAUGAGGCCAGGAGGAGAUGGCACAAAGGGAGAUCCCAUGAGCAGCUGAGAGAAUUCGGACAGAUGUGUGAAGCUGAGGUGGGUGCGUUCCUCCCUGACCCAUGCUGUAUCCCUUAAGCCAUCUCAACUGCUCCUUAGAAGCAGUGAUCAUUAAACAUUUGCCAAGUUGAUUUUGCUCUGCAUCUCUGAAUGUGAAGAGAGGAGUGAGACAGGAG